CCUACGGGAGGCAGCAGUGGGGAAUAUUGCACAAUGGGGGAAACCCUGAUGCAGCGACGCCGCGUGAAGGAAGAAGUAUUUCGGUAUGUAAACUUCUAUCAGCAGGGAAGAAAAUGACGGUACCUGACUAAGAAGCCCCGGCUAACGACGUGCCAGCAGCCGCGGUAAUACGUAGGGGGCAAGCGUUAUCCGGAUUUACUGGGUGUAGAGGGAGCGGAGGCGGUGAUGCAAGUCAGAAGUGAAAGCCUGCAGCUCAACUGCGGGACUGCUUUUGAAACUGUAUGACUAGAUUGCAGGAGAGGUAAGUGGAAUUCCUAGUGUAGCGGUGAAAUGCGUAGAUAUUAGGAGGAACACCAGUGGCGAAGGCGGCUUACUGGACUGUAAAUGACGCUGAGGCUCGAAAGCGUGGGGAGCAAACAGGAUUAGAUACCCGAGUAGUC
Molecule: ribosomal RNA, 440 nt
Filed under: uncultured bacterium
Lineage: Bacteria
Description: partial 16S ribosomal RNA
Rfam family: Bacterial small subunit ribosomal RNA
Source: RNAcentral